RNAcentral lists this transfer RNA (72 nucleotides) under Ovis aries (sheep). It matches the Rfam family "tRNA". From Rfam's summary of the family: Transfer RNA (tRNA) molecules are approximately 80 nucleotides in length. Their secondary structure includes four short double-helical elements and three loops (D, anti-codon, and T loops). Lineage: Eukaryota; Metazoa; Chordata; Mammalia; Artiodactyla; Bovidae. The record is from Rfam by way of RNAcentral.
UCCCUGAUAGCUCAAUUGGUAAAGAAUCUGCCUACAAUGCAGGAGACCCUGGUUCGAGUCCUGGGUUGGGAA